RNAcentral lists this long non-coding RNA (249 nucleotides) under Lathyrus oleraceus (garden pea). RNAcentral describes it as "Pisum sativum (pea) long non-coding RNA (PSAT_LNC013672)". Lineage: Eukaryota; Viridiplantae; Streptophyta; Magnoliopsida; Fabales; Fabaceae. The record is from RNAcentral.
UACUUGUGUUCCAUCGUCCAGAGCUGUUUCUCUAACUGCUUUUCUGAGAGCACGUGCGGUUCUUUCAAUCUAUAGAUCCAAUGGUAUUAAUGAUGAUCAUGAACUAAGCAUACACAAACAGAAAAUAUCUUAGUAGCACUAUGAUAAACAAGAAAAAAACAAAAAUAAAACAUACUAAAAUAAAACGUUGCACAAACGUCGCCUUGUUGAGAUAUCAAUAGUCCCCAGCAACAGUGCCAAAAACUUGAU